Molecule: long non-coding RNA, 791 nt
Organism: Patella vulgata (common limpet)
Lineage: Eukaryota; Metazoa; Mollusca; Gastropoda; Patellidae
Exons: 3
Source: RefSeq, a predicted model, not a curated record
AAUACUUCCCGUUUGAUUUGUGCAGCGUCGCCCAAGUUUUAGUGUCACAGAGCGAGUAGACAUCGCUAUAAGGUUGUAGUGUAGAUAAUUCAAGACACCUGGUUGACGUUUUUAACAACCCAAAUCACAUUAUAAAUGAUGUCUAAUCACAACGUAACCAACAACAUGUAUACUUCAAACAUUACAUACCAUGUUAACGGUGAUGGUGUCGGGGUACAGAUUGGAAACGGUAAUAGUUUCCAACAGACCAAUCAACUUCAAGAAGAGGUAGUUGACCUGCGGGAAGAGGUAGGUGAAUUAAAAGACCAAGUCCGGCAACUGAAGGAAAGAAUGGCCGCGUUAGAAAAUAAUAAUGAUGAUACAAACACUGAGGAACCAGAAUAUCAGAUGGAUGACGAGGAGGAGGAUAUGAUUACUCUUAAGAUCAUACGUUUUGUUGGGUAUGGUGAGAUGACUAUAAGGGUUAGUAGAGAUAAACCUGUAAGUCAACUAGUAUCUAUAAUAAAGGAGGAGGAUAGAAGGAAGUAUGGUAGAGAUGUUGGUGUUCGUUGUACUUAUACCUACAGGUUAAAACAGAUGAAGAUCAUCUACGACUAUAACAACAACAACAACAGCGAUCUACCAUUAUCACAUCAUGAUGUAGGUGAUGGUGAUACAGUCUUCUGGGGGUAGUUUGUUUGAUUAUAAAACAGGAAGAGUUUAUAUACAUAUAUAAGUCUUGUUUUAUGUACUGAUAUUUAUACAAUCCCAUGUAUACGUAAUCACAAUGUCAUAUUAUAAUGGAUAUUUUA